RNAcentral lists this long non-coding RNA (502 nucleotides) under Salmo trutta (river trout). Its description in RNAcentral is "lncRNA (ENSSTUG00000002700.1)". Lineage: Eukaryota; Metazoa; Chordata; Actinopteri; Salmoniformes; Salmonidae. The record is from RNAcentral.
GUCUCUUUCCCGCCUCGAUUUGCUUUGCACCGACAGACUGGAACUCAACACGCAGCACACAGUUGUUUGUAAUAAGGGCUCACCAUGUCUAUUUCUUAUCUGUUUGGUUCAUUAUUGACAAUCCUGUUAAUUCAAGGCUGUUGGGGUGGAGAAGAAACCAAGAAUGUUAGUUGUGCAAGCCUCCGAACUGGAAAUGCUUACAAAUACUGUGUAAAGGACAAGGAAAAUCCUAAAUGUGUGGAGUGGCAAUCAGUGGAUUCCAAUAAGACGUCUAUGUGGCUUGCUGAACUUUGCCAACACAAAAACACUACACAUGCACCCAAUGUGAUUGAUGUCAGCUACUCCUGCAUCACCCUCCUGGAGUGUGUCAACGUAGACCACACUGCCAUAAGCAAUGUGACUGAGCAUUUGACCCAUUUCGUUGUGUUUGGUGCAUCAGGUGAGAUGUGUAUAUUGCUUUUCAAGUUUGAGGAGCCUCCUUGUUUAAUAGUUUUUUUCUAGU